GACGAACGCUGGCGGCGUGCUUAACACAUGCAAGUCGAGCGGUAAGGCCCUUUCGGGGGUACACGAGCGGCGAACGGGUGAGUAACACGUGGGUGACCUGCCCUCAGCUCUGGGAUAAGCCCGGGAAACUGGGUCUAAUACCGGAUAUGACUUCAUGACGCAUGUUGUGGAGUGGAAAGCCUUGUGCGGCUGAGGAUGGGG
Molecule: ribosomal RNA, 201 nt
Filed under: uncultured bacterium
Lineage: Bacteria
Description: partial 16S ribosomal RNA
Rfam family: Bacterial small subunit ribosomal RNA
Source: RNAcentral